UCAGCUUUCACUUUAGUGGAAUCAAUUUUUUCUCUCUCUAUAUAUGUAAAUGGUUUUUUGUGGGUGUGGCUGUUAAAAGAAAGAAUUACGCCUGAGAAAGAGGAUAUGUACCAGCACUACUAGUCAAGAAAGGAAAAUGGUCCUUUUCUCAUGCCUUUGGAACUUUAGGUAUGUUUUCUGUUUGGUUUAAUUUGCUUAUUAAUAUAAAAUUUAUAAGUAAUAAGAUAUAUAUUUUUAAACUAUUUGUGAAAGCCAACAUUUUUUUAUAUUCAAUUCAAAAUUGAUGUAAUUUAUUAAUAAUUAUGUUUUUUUUGUAAUUAGUACUAUUCUUGAUAAUUAAAAAUAUUGAUUAUUGAUUAAAAUUAAAUAAUUAUAUUUUUAUAAUUACUACAAUUAUCUUAUACUUAAUUUGGCAUAGAAAAUGAUCUUAUAUUUUGACGUACAAAAUAUUUUAUUAUAUUGAAAGCGUGACUUGUGAUGGGGAGUUUUGGUUUUUGAAGAAACCCCUAAUUACUGUGCUAUUUUAACGGAAAACUACAUAACGUGAAAAUUCUAUAUAUAUAUAUAUAUAUAUAUAUAUAUACUCCGGUGUUAGUAUGAUGGCCCUCACAUAGAAACCCUUCUAUUUCUCUUCAUCAAUAUAUAAAUUACUGCUUUUUAAUUCUCGCGCGUGCUAUGAUAAUCAGAGAUUUGUUCUGAUCUAGUAGUAGUAGCUUGUAGUCUUUCCUUGUUUGUUGUAGUAUUUUCCUUGUUUCUUUCACACCGGUGCAAUCUGAUUUUAUUAAUUAAUUAAUUUAUUUAUUUUUGAAUACAAAUUUUAAAUUUAUUUUAAUUAUGUGAGUUAAUUUUGUUUCUUCGUCGAAGUAGUUAGCAUUUUGAAUGUAUUAAUUUCCCCUUUUUGUUGGUCCCUAAAGUUAUAGUAUAUGGAAUUAUGGAUUGUUUUUGCUUUAUUGGUUUGUCUAUUUUUCAUUUAUGUUUUUGUAGAUCAAAUGAAAGUUGUUCAUUCCAUGAAUUGUCAAGAAAAUAAUAUCUAUACCAAGGUUUGAAAUUUGAACCCUUUCUAUAAUGCGCAUAUUAUCAAUUAUCAUUUAGUUUGUCGUGCUUAUAAACAAUUUAUGUAUUUCGAUUUGGAUUAUACUUGUAAAUGGAAAUUAAUUUUCCCCACCUUAAUUAUAAAAACAAUGGUAGUCAUAUAAUUUUUUUUGAGAUAUUUGUUUUGUUUUUCCCUUCAUGUUUGACUAACUUCAGCAUUUGAAUAUUAUAGUAAUUUUCAAUUGCUAUAUUUCUGAUAUAUAUUCAUAUAUAUGGGGCUCCCACUAUUUUUGUGAGCAAUUUACCUAGCUACCACUAAAUGAGAUUCUCUGUAUAUAUACAUGGUACGUAAGAUUUCAAAAAUGAACGUCUUAAAUUAGUUUUUCCCUUUCUUUUUAUACUACAUAUAUUUUCCUUCACCCUUUCUUUUAGUUGAGAAAUCAUGGUUCUCACUCUGUAUGCCUUUCUCUUUAUAAUAAAUUUCUUCUUUGAAUAUAUAUAAUAUGUUUUAUAUUUUUGUGGUGACUUCAGAUUUGUUUAUUCCCUUUUCAAGGUUCAGUUGCUUCUCAAAUCCGUACACUGAUUAAGAAUGGGAAUGCAUUUGGAAUAUCCAGAUAUUCACUAGGUUCGGGUAAUAAUUCUUUAGACAUUUGCAUUUUUGUUCAUUCAGUUUCUUAACGGAUUUAUGCUCAGUUAUUCUUUGUUAGGAACUUAAGUUUACUUAUAAUUUAUUUUAUCAGAUGAUGGAGUACUUCUUUUCUAUAGGACCCAUUUUACUAACUAGAAAACUGAACCCAAAUCCCCAAUAAAAAAUAAUAUUGGAAUUUGUUGAGC
Molecule: long non-coding RNA, 1866 nt
Filed under: Panax ginseng (ginseng)
Lineage: Eukaryota; Viridiplantae; Streptophyta; Magnoliopsida; Apiales; Araliaceae
Description: long non-coding RNA (PGIN_LNC011755)
Source: RNAcentral